AGUAUGUCGUAGGGUAAACGUCGCCUGAGUGGGGAGGGGAUAACUACUAGGAAACGGAGCUAAUACCGCAUAACGUCGCAAGACCAAAGAGGGGGACCUUCGGGCCUCUUGCCAUCGGAUGUGCCCAGAUGGGAUUAGCUAGUAGGUGGGGUAACGGCUCACCUAGGCGACGAUCCCUAGCUGGUCUGAGAGGAUGACCAGCCACACUGGAACUGAGACACGGUCCAG
Molecule: ribosomal RNA, 228 nt
Filed under: uncultured bacterium
Lineage: Bacteria
Description: partial 16S ribosomal RNA
Rfam family: Bacterial small subunit ribosomal RNA
Source: RNAcentral